UGCUGCCACACCUUGAUGCACAGCUGAAGUCCCUUCCUCAUUAGUAAACUGCAUAAAAGCCACACUCAUCCACGUUGCCUAGAUGCUGAAUGUGCACAGCCUCGCGUUCUCUCCCAGCAGCUGCGUGUUUCCUAAGGCUAUCGAUGUUCCUAUACAGCUCAUAGCAGAGCAGCAUGCAAAUCUUCCACAUGAUCAACUCUCAAAUAGGAAUGAGCGUGGGUGCAGCCCUAUGUGAGGUGAUGUGAGCCAGUCAGAUGAAGACAUCAAAUGCCAUUGCUGGAACCGUGACACCCACUGAAGAGCUGGAGAGCAGGGCAAAUGUUGAUUUCCCUUCCUGACGGGCUGAGCAAACAUGCAAUAACAAUGUGGAGUAGAUUCCACAUUGUUUUUGCGCUGGAAGGAGAACCAGCGUGUCGGUCUUUCAACACAGCAGCUUCAGCAACAAAAGGUACUGUCUGUACCUGGUUUUCUCAGCAGAGGAAAGCUGCCCACACAUUUAUUUUCAGAUCUAGAAAACACCGGGUGCACUGGCAGUGUGUGUUUAACAUCCCCUCUCUGUCAUCGCCCACAAGAGAUAAAAACUGUUAAACAUUCAGGUGCUCAUUUUAGUCUUUCAAGCUAGCUAAAAAGAACAGCUUUGUAACAGCACAUUGCCUAUUUGCUAAAUAUACUGCUGUGACAUUUGUUUCCAUGGCUUUUCUCAUUACGUGUGGUAAUACAUGAACAGAAUGCAAAUGCAUUUUGUCUACAGUAUAUUUAUUUAUAUAUCAUUUCUAAUAUAUUAUGUAACUUUGAUUUAUAGUUACAGCACUUGAGUUCACUGUGUAUACAAUAUGUUAUUUAAAACAAGUUUCAGUGCAUGCAGGUGUAAUGUACUUACUGUACUCUUACUGUAAAUCUAUGUGCAUGAAGCAAUCACUUUGACGUUGGUGAAAAUUAUACAUCAACCCAUGCCUUCAUCGGUUGUUGGGGAGGAUAACACAAAAUAUGUAAUUUUCUCUAACAAAAUGUUGAAAUCAGUUAAAAUAAGAAUUUCAUAGAACAAAUUAAAGUCAGUGAUUUAAAAAAUGUCUUGUUGAUUAGAGGAGAAUACCCAGACUGCUUUGAGCUGAUA
Oreochromis niloticus (Nile tilapia) is the source of this 1114-nucleotide long non-coding RNA. RefSeq lists it as uncharacterized. NCBI's taxonomy places the organism in Eukaryota, Metazoa, Chordata, Actinopteri, Cichliformes, Cichlidae. The record is from RefSeq and is a predicted model, not a curated record. The transcript is spliced from 4 exons.